Molecule: long non-coding RNA, 766 nt
Organism: Ailuropoda melanoleuca (giant panda)
Lineage: Eukaryota; Metazoa; Chordata; Mammalia; Carnivora; Ursidae
Exons: 3
Source: RefSeq, a predicted model, not a curated record
CCUGGAAAGCACCAAUUGGCUUUCUCUAUGAAUUUGACUACUCUCCGUGUCUCAUCUACUCUGGCAGAUUAGAGAUGUCUGCAAAGUCACUGACUCCUCCCAUCAGACGUGGGGCCUUCAUCGUUUCCGCUUGAAUCUGGGCGGCAGGAUCUGGGACCGCUUGACCAACACAUCAUGAUGAAACUGACCUGUGCUAGUUUCAGGGCCCAGGGUUUGAGAGACUCACAGCUACCAUGCCUGACUUUCGGUCCUCAUGCCUGUGGAGCCCUGAGCUGAAUGGAAGGAGCCUCACUGCCCAGAGGCUGCCUUGCUGACGAGGCCACAUGUGGGAGCCCUGGCUAGGAGCUCCAGCUGAGCUCAGCCCUCCAGCCGUCCCCGCUGGGGCACCACAUAUGUGCGUGAAGCUGUCUCAGAUCUUCCAAUCCAGCCCAUUCACCAGUCGAAUGCCACCAAGUGACCUCAGUCGCUGAUGCCCAGAACAAAAGAAUCACCCAAAUGAACACUGUUGGAAUUCCUGACCCCCAAAACCAGAGAGCCUUGGGACCAUUGUGAUCAACCGUCUCCUGGACAGUUGAAGCCUGACAUGAAGACAAACCUCAGGAUGGUCUGGCCAACAGUGCCCGUUCAGACUUCAUCCAGAAUCACUUCUCCAAAAGGAAAUGAUUGACUCACAAUGGUUUCAGGGAUGGCUGGGUCUCGGUGCUCCAGUGAGCGUCCCGAAGACCCGUUCCCUACCCGCUCCCAGUUUACCACCCCCCCACUCCCC